CCUACGGGAGGCAGCAGUGGGGAAUUUUGGACAAUGGACGCAAGUCUGAUCCAGCCAUGCCGCGUGCGGGAAGAAGGCCUUCGGGUUGUAAACCGCUUUUGUCAGGGAAGAAACGGCUUUCUCUAAUACAGAGAGCUAAUGACGGUACCUGAAGAAUAAGCACCGGCUAACUACGUGCCAGCAGCCGCGGUAAUACGUAGGGUGCAAGCGUUAAUCGGAAUUACUGGGCGUAAAGCGUGCGCAGGCGGUUAUGCAAGACAGAGGUGAAAUCCCCGGGCUCAACCUGGGAACUGCCUUUGUGACUGCAUAGCUAGAGUACGGUAGAGGGGGAUGGAAUUCCGCGUGUAGCAGUGAAAUGCGUAGAUAUGCGGAGGAACACCGAUGGCGAAGGCAAUCCCCUGGACCUGUACUGACGCUCAUGCACGAAAGCGUGGGGAGCAAACAGGAUUAGAUACCCUGGUAGUCCACGCCCUAAACGAUGUCAACUGGUUNUUGGGAGGGUUUCUUCUCAGUAACGAAGCUAACGCGUGAAGUUGACCGCCUGGGGAGUACGGCCGCAAGGUUGAAACUCGAAANAGAGUAGACGCGUGAGACGNGACGACGGACGACGACGAGGGAGGAGG
This 623-nucleotide ribosomal RNA is filed under the name uncultured bacterium. Its description in RNAcentral is "bacterial SSU rRNA". It matches the Rfam family "Bacterial small subunit ribosomal RNA", at positions 338 to 1414 of the family's 1533-position model. The record is from RNAcentral.